Molecule: ribosomal RNA, 305 nt
Filed under: uncultured bacterium
Lineage: Bacteria
Description: bacterial SSU rRNA
Rfam family: Bacterial small subunit ribosomal RNA
Source: RNAcentral
CUCUCUACGGGGCGCAGCAGUGAGGAAUAUUGGUCAAUGAACGCAAGUCUGAACCAGCCAAGUAGCGUGCAGGAUGACGGCCCUCCGGGUUGUAAACUGCUUUUAGUUGGGAAUAAAAGGGGGCUCGUGAGCCCCGUAUUGUAUGUACCAUCAGAAAAAGGACCGGCUAAUUCCGUGCCAGCAGCCGCGGUAAUACGGAAGGUCCGGGCGUUAUCCGGAUUUAUUGGGUUUAAAGGGUGCGUAGGCGGUCCGUUAAGUCAGCGGUAAAAUUGCGGGGCUCAACCCCGUCGAGCCGUUGAAACUGG